RNAcentral lists this ribosomal RNA (429 nucleotides) under Actinomycetes bacterium. Its description in RNAcentral is "Actinobacteria bacterium partial 16S ribosomal RNA". It matches the Rfam family "Bacterial small subunit ribosomal RNA", at positions 355 to 776 of the family's 1533-position model. Lineage: Bacteria; Bacillati; Actinomycetota; Actinomycetes. The record is from RNAcentral.
UAGGGAAUCUUCCGCAAUGGGCGAAAGCCUGACGGAGCAACGCCGCGUGAGUGAUGAAGGUCUUCGGAUCGUAAAACUCUGUUAUUAGGGAAGAACAAAUGUGUAAGUAACUAUGCACGUCUUGACGGUACCUAAUCAGAAAGCCACGGCUAACUACGUGCCAGCAGCCGCGGUAAUACGUAGGUGGCAAGCGUUAUCCGGAAUUAUUGGGCGUAAAGCGCGCGUAGGCGGUUUUUUAAGUCUGAUGUGAAAGCCCACGGCUCAACCGUGGAGGGUCAUUGGAGACUGGAAAACUUGAGUGCAGAAGAGGAAAGUUGAAUUCCAUGUGUAGCGGUGAAAUGCGCAGAGAUAUGGAGGAACACCAGUGGCGAAGGCGACUUUCUGGUCUGUUACUGACGCUGAUGUGCGAAAGCGUGGGGAUCAAACAGG